AUUGAACGCUGGCGGAAUGCUUUACACAUGCAAGUCGAACGGCAGCACGGACUUCGGUCUGGUGGCGAGUGGCGAACGGGUGAGUAAUGUAUCGGAACGUGCCCAGUCGUGGGGGAUAACGUAGUGAAAAUUACGCUAAUACCGCAUACGAUCUAUGGAUGAAAGCGGGGGAUCGCAAGACCUCGCGCGAUUGGAGCGGCCGAUAGCAGAUUAGGUAGUUGUUGGGGUAAAGGCCCACCAAGCCAACGAUCUGUAGCUGGUCUGAGAGGACGACAAGCCACACUGGAACUGAGACACGGUCCAGACUCCUACGGGAGGCAGCAGUGGGGAAUUUUGGACAAUGGGCGAAAGCCUGAUCCAGCCAUUCCGCGUGCAGGAUGAAGGCCCUCGGGUUGUAAACUGCUUUUGUACAGAACGAAAAGGUUUCUACUAAUACUAGGAGCUCAUGACGGUACUGUAAGAAUAAGCACCGGCUAACUACGUGCCAGCCGCCGCGGUAA
Molecule: ribosomal RNA, 500 nt
Filed under: uncultured bacterium
Lineage: Bacteria
Description: partial 16S ribosomal RNA
Rfam family: Bacterial small subunit ribosomal RNA
Source: RNAcentral